UGCCAGCCGCCGCGGUAAUACAGAAGGUGCAAGCGUUAAUCGGAAUCACUGGGCGUAACGCGCUCGUAGGUGGCUUUGUAAGUCAGAUGUGAAAGCCAAUAGCCCAACUAUUGAACUGCAUUUGAAACUGUAAACCUAGAGUAUGGGAGAGGUAGAUGGAAUUUCUGGUGUAGGGGUAAAAUCCGUAGAGAUCAGAAGGAAUACCGAUUGCGAAGGCGAUCUACUGGAACAUUAUUGACGCUGAGACGCGAAAGCGUGGGGAGCAAACAGGAUUAGAUA
RNAcentral lists this ribosomal RNA (279 nucleotides) under uncultured bacterium. Its description in RNAcentral is "partial 16S ribosomal RNA". It matches the Rfam family "Bacterial small subunit ribosomal RNA", at positions 506 to 784 of the family's 1533-position model. The record is from RNAcentral.